Etheostoma cragini (Arkansas darter) is the source of this 197-nucleotide long non-coding RNA. RefSeq lists it as uncharacterized. The record is from RefSeq and is a predicted model, not a curated record. The transcript is spliced from 3 exons. Lineage: Eukaryota; Metazoa; Chordata; Actinopteri; Perciformes; Percidae.
GCAUCAAAAAGCGACACUUGGUCAGGUGCCAAAGCCGUUUGUUAUUGACACAAAAAGUAUCCUUUAGCCAUUAUAUUUAGACGUGCUUGGUCGGGAUUCUGCGUCACUUUUUGACGCUCUGGGUCGGGACGUAGGUUUAACUGACAUGUGGCACAAGAACAGGCCAGGAAAAGAUUGUGGGUUAUAAAAUGUACUUU